Molecule: transfer RNA, 93 nt
Filed under: Colletotrichum salicis
Lineage: Eukaryota; Fungi; Ascomycota; Sordariomycetes; Glomerellales; Glomerellaceae
Rfam family: tRNA
About the family: Transfer RNA (tRNA) molecules are approximately 80 nucleotides in length.
Source: Rfam by way of RNAcentral
GGCCCUCUGGCGCAACGGUAGCGCGUUCGACUCCAGAUCGACAAAUCUCGAGAUGCAAUCGAAAGGUUAUCCGUUCAAAUCGGGUGGGGGUCA